Molecule: ribosomal RNA, 492 nt
Filed under: uncultured bacterium
Lineage: Bacteria
Description: partial 16S ribosomal RNA
Rfam family: Bacterial small subunit ribosomal RNA
Source: RNAcentral
GAUGAACGCUAGCUACAGGCUUAACACAUGCAAGUCGAGGGGAAGCGGCAUCGAAAGCUUGCUUUUGAUGGGCGUCGACCGGCGCACGGGUGAGUAACGCGUAUCCAACCUGCCCAUCACUUGGGAAUAACCUUGCGAAAGUAAGACUAAUGCCCAAUGACAUCCCACGAAGGCAUCCGAAUGGGAUUAAAGAUUUAUCGGUGAUGGAUGGGGAUGCGUCUGAUUAGCUUGUUGGCGGGGUGACGGCCCACCAAGGCAACGAUCAGUAGGGGUUCUGAGAGGAAGGUCCCCCACAUUGGAACUGAGACACGGUCCAAACUCCUACGGGAGGCAGCAGUGAGGAAUAUUGGUCAAUGGGCGAGGGCCUGAACCAGCCAAGUAGCGUGCAGGAUGACGGCCCUAUGGGUUGUAAACUGCUUUUAUAAGGGAAUAAAGUGGGUCACGUGUGACUUUUUGCAUGUACCUUAUGAAUAAGGACCGGCUAAUUCCGUG